This 318-nucleotide small nuclear RNA is filed under the name Notechis scutatus (mainland tiger snake). Its description in RNAcentral is "7SK RNA (ENSNSUG00000009294.1)". It matches the Rfam family "7SK RNA". From Rfam's summary of the family: 7SK was discovered as an abundant small nuclear RNA in the mid-70s but a possible function has only recently been suggested. Two independent studies have found that 7SK RNA binds the CDK9/cyclin T complex (known as elongation factor P-TEFb). P-TEFb activates transcription by phosphorylating the C-terminal domain of RNA polymerase II. The record is from Rfam by way of RNAcentral. Lineage: Eukaryota; Metazoa; Chordata; Lepidosauria; Squamata; Elapidae.
GGAUGUGAAGGCGAUUUGUCUGUGACAUCUGUCACCCCAUUGAUCACCAGGGUUGACUCAGCUGAUCUGGCUGGCUACAUGGGUGUCUCCUUUCUCUCUUACCGUUCCAUGUGUGUCCUUUCUGAAGCUGCGUGCUUGGUGGAAGAGAUGGCCAUCUCAGAUAGGAGUGUGCCAAUAUUCGGUCAAGGGUAUAAGAUAGCUGCACUCCCCUACUAGAACUUCCAAACAAGCUCAUACUUGAUUUAUUGUAAUGAUUGAUUGGUUGAUACCUAGGAGAUUUUUGGUCAUGCAUUUGAUCAUGUAAAUCUGUAUCUACAG